GACGAACGCUGGCGGCGUGCUUCACACAUGCAAGUCGAACGGUGAAGCCCCUUCGGGGGCGGAUCAGUGGCGAACGGGUGAGUAACACGUGGGCAACCUGCCCCUCGACUCUGGGAUAACCCCGGGAAACCCGGAGCUAAUACCGGAUACGACCUCUGACCGCAUGGUCGUGGAGGGUAGGUAAAGUUUUUCGGUUCGAGGGAGUGGGCCCGGCCGGCCUA
Molecule: ribosomal RNA, 221 nt
Filed under: uncultured bacterium
Lineage: Bacteria
Description: partial 16S ribosomal RNA
Rfam family: Bacterial small subunit ribosomal RNA
Source: RNAcentral